AUGAAUUUCUUAGGAACCUUUAUUAUAAAUGGAAUAUACCGAAUUGUGAUCAAUCAAAUAUUGCUAAGUCCUGGUAUUUACUACCGCUCGGAAUUAGAUCAUAAGGGAAUUUCUAUCUACACUGGGACUAUAAUAUCAGAUUGGGGAGGGAGAUCGGAAUUAGCAAUUGAUAAAAAAGAAAGGAUAUGGGCUCACGUGAGUAGAAAACAAAAGAUAUCUGUUCUAGUUCUAUCAUCAGCUACAGGUUCGAAUAUAAGAGAAAUUCUAGAUAAUGUUUCCUACCCUGAAAUUCUCUUGUCUUUCCCGAAUGCCAAGGAGAAGAAGAGGAUUGAGUCAAAAGAAAAAGCUAUUUUGGAGUUUUAUCAACAUUUUGCUUGUGUAGGUGGGGACCUGGAUUGGUCGACGAAAUAUGAAUCGGAGACUUAA
Molecule: ribosomal RNA, 426 nt
Filed under: Triticum aestivum (bread wheat)
Lineage: Eukaryota; Viridiplantae; Streptophyta; Magnoliopsida; Poales; Poaceae
Description: partial small subunit ribosomal RNA
Source: RNAcentral